AGCGGAGGAAAAGAAACUAACAAGGAUUCCCCUAGUAGCGGCGAGCGAAGCGGGAAGAGCUCAAAUUUAUAAUCUGGCACCUUCGGUGUCCGAGUUGUAAUCUCUAGAAAUGUUUUCCGCGUUGGACCGCACACAAGUCUGUUGGAAUACAGCGGCAUAGUGGUGAGACCCCCGUAUAUGGUGCGGACGCCCAGCGCUUUGUGAUACAUUUUCGAAGAGUCGAGUUGUUUGGGAAUGCAGCUCAAAUUGGGUGGUAAAUUCCAUCUAAAGCUAAAUAUUGGCGAGAGACCGAUAGCGAACAAGUACCGUGAGGGAAAGAUGAAAAGCACUUUGGAAAGAGAGUUAACAGUACGUGAAAUUGUUGGAAGGGAAACGCUUGAAGUCAGACUUGCUUGCCGAGCAAUCGGUUUGCAGGCCAGCAUCAGUUUUCCGGGAUGGAUAAUGGUAGAGAGAAGGUAGCAGUUUCGGCUGUGUUAUAGCUCUCUGCUGGAUACAUCUUGGGGGACUGAGGAACGCAGUGUGCCUUUGGCGGGGGUUUCGACCUCUCACACUUAGGAUGCUGGUGGAAUGGCUUUAAACGACCCGUCUUGAAACACGGAC
This 600-nucleotide ribosomal RNA is filed under the name Rhodotorula mucilaginosa. RNAcentral describes it as "eukaryotic LSU rRNA". It matches the Rfam family "Eukaryotic large subunit ribosomal RNA", at positions 49 to 666 of the family's 3401-position model. Lineage: Eukaryota; Fungi; Basidiomycota; Microbotryomycetes; Sporidiobolales; Sporidiobolaceae. The record is from RNAcentral.